RNAcentral lists this ribosomal RNA (867 nucleotides) under uncultured Bacillota bacterium. RNAcentral's name for it is "bacterial SSU rRNA". It matches the Rfam family "Bacterial small subunit ribosomal RNA", at positions 58 to 958 of the family's 1533-position model. The record is from RNAcentral. Lineage: Bacteria; Bacillati; Bacillota.
CAAGUCGAACGAGAAAGUGGAGCAAUCCAUGAGUACAGUGGCGUACGGGUGAGUAACACGUGGGUGAUCUACCUUUUAGUGAGGAAUAACCGAGGGAAACUUUGGCUAAUACCGCAUAAGCCCGAGAGGGGAAAGCAGAAAUGCGCUGAAAGAGGAGCCCGCGGCCGAUUAGCUAGUUGGUGGGGUAAGAGCCCACCAAGGCAGAGAUCGGUAGCCGGCCUGAGAGGGCACACGGCCACACUGGCACUGAAACACGGGCCAGACUCCUACGGGAGGCAGCAGUGGGGAAUCUUGCACAAUGGGGGAAACCCUGAUGCAGCGACGCCGCGUGAGCGAUGAAGCCCUUCGGGGUGUAAAGCUCUUUCGUCAGGGAAGAUAGUGACGGUACCUGGAGAAGCAGCUGCGGCUAACUACGUGCCAGCAGCCGCGGUAAUACGUAGGCAGCAAGCGUUGUUCGGAGUUACUGGGCGUAAAGGGUGUGUAGGCGGUUCUUUAAGUUUGGUGUGAAAUCUCCCGGCUCAACUGGGGGGGUGCGCCGAAUACUGAGGGACUAGAGUACGGGAGAGGAAAGUGGAAUUCCUGGUGUAGCGGUGAAAUGCGUAGAUAUCAGGAGGAACACCGGUGGUGUAGACGGCUUUCUGGACCGUAACUGACGCUGAGACACGAAAGCGUGGGUAGCAAACAGGAUUAGAUACCCUGGUAGUCCACGCCCUAAACGAUGCAUAUUUGGUGUGGGCAGUUCAUUCUGUCCGUGCCGGAGCUAACGCGUUAAAUAUGCCGCCUGGGGAGUACAGUCGCAAGGCUGAAACUCAAAGGAAUUGACGGGGGCCCGCACAAGCGGUGGAGCAUGUGGUUCAAUUCGACGCA